GACGAACGCUGGCGGCGUGCUUAACACAUGCAAGUCGAACGGUAAGGCCCUUCGGGGUACACGAGUGGCGAACGGGUGAGUAACACGUGGGUGAUCUGCCCUGCACUUCGGGGUAAGCCUGGGAAACUGGGUCUAAUACCGGAUAGGACCACUGCCUGCAUGGGUGGUGGUGGAAAGCUUUUGCGGUGUGGGAUGGGCCCGCGGCCUAUCAGCUUGUUGGUGGGGUGAUGGCCCACCAAGGCGACGACGGGUAGCCGGCCUGAGAGGGUGACCGGCCACACUGGGACUGAGAUACGGCCCAGACUCCUACGGGAGGCAGCAGUGGGGAAUAUUGCACAAUGGGCGCAAGCCUGAUGCAGCGACGCCGCGUGAGGGAUGACGGCCUUCGGGUUGUAAACCCCUUUCAGCACCGACGAAGCGCAAGUGACGGUAGGUGCAGAAGAAGGACCGGCCAACUACGUGCCAGCCGCCGCAGUAA
RNAcentral lists this ribosomal RNA (478 nucleotides) under uncultured bacterium. Its description in RNAcentral is "partial 16S ribosomal RNA". It matches the Rfam family "Bacterial small subunit ribosomal RNA", at positions 28 to 523 of the family's 1533-position model. The record is from RNAcentral.